This 305-nucleotide ribosomal RNA is filed under the name uncultured bacterium. Its description in RNAcentral is "bacterial SSU rRNA". It matches the Rfam family "Bacterial small subunit ribosomal RNA", at positions 335 to 656 of the family's 1533-position model. The record is from RNAcentral.
AUCCUACGGGGGGCAGCAGUGGGGAAUAUUGGGCAAUGGGCGCAAGCCUGACCCAGCGACGCCGCGUGAGGGAAGACGGUCUUCGGAUUGUAAACCUCUUUCAGCAGGGAAGACAAAAGGACGGUACCUGCAGAAGAAGCCACGGCUAACUACGUGCCAGCAGCCGCGGUAAUACGUAGGUGGCAAGCGUUAUCCGGAAUUACUGGGUGUAAAGGGUGUGUAGGCGGGGUUGCAAGUACGAUGUGAAAAUUAUGGGCUCAAACCAUAACCUGCGUUUGAAACGACAGAUCUUGAGAGAGGGGGAG